Molecule: ribosomal RNA, 253 nt
Filed under: uncultured bacterium
Lineage: Bacteria
Description: partial 16S ribosomal RNA
Rfam family: Bacterial small subunit ribosomal RNA
Source: RNAcentral
UACGUAGGGUGCGAGCGUUGUCCGGAAUUAUUGGGCAUAAAGAGCUUGUAGGCGGUUUGUCGCGUCUGCCGUGAAAUUUCGGGGCUCAACCCCGAACUUGCGGUGGGUACGGGCAGACUAGAGUGUGGUAGGGGAGACUGGAAUUCCUGGUGUAGCGGUGAAAUGCGCAGAUAUCAGGAGGAACACCGAUGGCGAAGGCAGGUCUCUGGGCCACUACUGACGCUGAGAAGCGAAAGCAUGGGGAGCGAACAGG